Long non-coding RNA from Magallana angulata, 1822 nucleotides. RefSeq lists it as uncharacterized. The transcript is spliced from 3 exons. The record is from RefSeq and is a predicted model, not a curated record. Lineage: Eukaryota; Metazoa; Mollusca; Bivalvia; Ostreida; Ostreidae.
UUCAUGCAGAACCUGCUCUGUGAUGAACAUAAUAUUUUCACACCUCUAUAUUUUGAAUAAGAAUAUGACCGUGCUUAGAAUCGCGGUGAAAAUUGGACAAGUCAAGACUAACUUGUCAGUAAACUAUAUAUGACUCUAUCAUAUUUAGUUUGGCAAAAUCAUCAGAACAUGUAAAUAAAAUAUAGUUAAAGGCAAAAUCUGAUACAUAUGUCUCAUUAGAAUUUGUUUAAUUUCAUUAGACAUUUGUAAACAAACAGUCGGCCAUUUUUUUUGUUAAUCACGUGUUACAAAUACAAUUGUAACAAACACACGCCAAUACUUUGUCGUAUUUAACCAGGAAAUACUGACUCCGACAGUUCUUAUUUAAAAUAAAUAUACAUGUACAAAGUAUACUAUUCGGUAAAAAAUGAUAAUUUUGAUUAAAUAUUAUUCAUUUUAAACUAUCCCAAGAUGCACUUUUCCAAGAUUUAGCGGGUUCUGAUUGGUCAGUAUUGGCGCACUUUAUGAUUCCGAGCGAAGGUUAAAAUGGACAAGAAGGUACUGUUGUAAAAUGGAGAAUUGAGAAGCAUUAAUAGCCUCUACAACAAGGAGAUAAUGCAGGAACGAAGAACUCAUGUCAAGCAUUGACAGCAUACAAAGUCAAUGUUUCCGGUGAUUAGUUGCAUCCUCUGUUCGGUGAUUCGGGUGAAUGUUUUGACCAGCUGGACGAUGUGAACGCAAGAUAAAUAGAACAGACAUAAAGUACAGCCCAGUAAAAGGAACAAGUUCAUCGCAAGAAGAAGAAUUUUAAUGCUACCACUGUCCAGAACUACUAAGUCUGCUGUAACCAUGAUGUGAUCAUAUGAGUGCUUCACCGGUCUGGACAAUGCUCGAAAAUCCCCUAAAAAGGCCUAUUUCCAUAAACUACGACUCAGGUUACAUCAACAACAGCCAAGGACACUCCUUAUUGAUUCGAAUGGACACAUCUCUACGACCCGACUAAACCUAUGCAGAACAAGACUUUUUAACUGUAAAGUAUUCUCAUUUCAAAAAACCUAUAAACUAUAAAAGUACUUCUUUUAUAUGAUCAAAUACCAGUAUAUUACAAUGUCUGUCUGUAAGCUAGAAUCUUAGAAAAUCACAUGGUUUUGACUUAUUAAAUGAUUGAUUAGACCUUGCAGAUAUUAACUUUCAUUUUCUUAAAUAAUUUUUUAUAUUUGCAAAUAUUGCAUAAAAUAUUAGACUCCAUGUAACAUAUAUCCUCACACCUCCAAGUUGAUAAGUGUUAACUACUUUUUUUUCCCAUUUUCUUUGUUUAAACAUUUAUUGAUAACUUAGUUUUUAAAUGUAAAAACACUGCAUUAGGAGAUGAAUGCAUGGGUCAUAGAAAUGAUAAAAUACACCAAACAAUAUUCAAUUAUGUCGUAUAUAAAAAUAUAUAAAGACAACAUAUACCCCAUGUAUAACAAUUUUUAUAUAACAAAAUUACUUGCAUGGAAAGUUGUUUCCAUGUGGGUUUUAUUUUAAUCUGUGUUAUGCAAUUAAUAUUGGAAUUAGCUUUUAUAUCAUAAGUAAAAUGCUGGUAUUGAUGAGAAUUGUAAGGUGAAUGAUCUGUGUGAUACUUUGUACUUUAUACAUUCAUGCUACAAAAAGCAAGUACAUGUACAUGUAGUAAUACUUGACAUAUAUAAACAAUGUAUAUUUUACUUCAUGUCUUGGAUUUAAAAAUAUUAAUGUAGGUACAGUAGUGAAAUGUUGGAAGGUAAACCGUGUGUAAAGAAGAUUAUUCAUCAGGAAUGAAGUGUGUUGCAAUCAGCAUAAUUAAUUAAAUGUGUACAUCAUA